AGGCACCUACGGGGCGCAGCAGUGAGGAAUAUUGGUCAAUGGGCGGAAGCCUGAACCAGCCAAGUCGCGUGAGGGAUUAAGGCCCUGCGGGUCGUAAACCUCUUUUGCCGGGGAGCAGUGGUCCGGACGCGUCCGGACCGGGAGAGUACCCGGAGAAAAAGCAUCGGCUAACUCCGUGCCAGCAGCCGCGGUAAUACGGAGGAUGCGAGCGUUAUCCGGAUUUAUUGGGUUUAAAGGGUGCGUAGGCGGAGUGUCAAGUCAGCGGUAAAAUUUCGGGGCUCAACCCCGUCGUGCCGUUGAAACUG
This 305-nucleotide ribosomal RNA is filed under the name uncultured bacterium. RNAcentral describes it as "bacterial SSU rRNA". It matches the Rfam family "Bacterial small subunit ribosomal RNA", at positions 333 to 635 of the family's 1533-position model. The record is from RNAcentral.